RNAcentral lists this ribosomal RNA (261 nucleotides) under uncultured bacterium. Its description in RNAcentral is "partial 16S ribosomal RNA". It matches the Rfam family "Bacterial small subunit ribosomal RNA", at positions 793 to 1055 of the family's 1533-position model. The record is from RNAcentral.
GUCCACACCCUAACGAUGUCAACUGGUUGUUGGGUCUUCACUGACUCAGUAACGAAGCUAACGCGUGAAGUUGACCGCCUGGGGAGUACGGCCGCAAGGUUGAAACUCAAAGGAAUUGACGGGACCCGCACAAGCGGUGGAUGAUGUGGUUUAAUUCGAUGCAACGCGAAAACCUUACCCACCUUUGACAUGUACGGAACUCGCCAGAGAUGGCUUGGUGCUCGAAAGAGAGCCGUAACACAGGUGCUGCAUGGCUGUCGU